This 274-nucleotide ribosomal RNA is filed under the name uncultured bacterium. Its description in RNAcentral is "partial 16S ribosomal RNA". It matches the Rfam family "Bacterial small subunit ribosomal RNA", at positions 523 to 796 of the family's 1533-position model. The record is from RNAcentral.
AUACAGAGGGUGCGAGCGUUAAUCGGAAUUACUGGGCGUAAAGCGCGCGUAGGCGGCUUAUUAAGUCAGAUGUGAAAUCCCCGGGCUCAACCUGGGAACUGCAUCUGAUACUGGUAAGCUAGAGUUUUGGAGAGGGAAGUAGAAUUUCAGGUGUAGCGGUGAAAUGCAUAGAGAUCUGAAGGAAUACCAGUGGCGAAGGCGACUUCCUGGCCAAAAACUGACGCUGAGGUGCGAAAGCGUGGGUAGCAAACGGGAUUAGAUACCCUUGUAGUCC